GAAGGCUCAUUUUCAGGUGGCAAUAAAGACUCACUCUCAGGGGGCAAAGAUGUCUCACUCUCGGAGGGCAAAGAUGUCUCGGAUGCAGGCAAAGAUGUCUCGGAUGCAGAGUCAUCUAACGACACAUUUGCAACACCCUCUGCGAUGCCACUGUUUUUGGUGCCCGGGGGUGGUGAGGUAGAGGCAGAGUCAUCCAACGACACAUUUGUGACACCCUCUGCAAUGCCACCGUUUUUGGUGCCCGUGGAUGGUGAGGUAGAUUCCGUCUCUUCAAUUGGUUGUUGUAGGCUCCAAUACAUGAUGCUGGCAGUUAGAGUGAGAAUCAUCUUCUGGUUCACCU
Molecule: long non-coding RNA, 340 nt
Filed under: Amborella trichopoda
Lineage: Eukaryota; Viridiplantae; Streptophyta; Magnoliopsida; Amborellales; Amborellaceae
Description: long non-coding RNA (ATRI_LNC005092)
Source: RNAcentral